ACUCUUUGGACACUCGUAAACAGGUGGNGCAUGGUUGUCGUCAGCUCGNGUCGUGAGAUGUUGGGUUAAGUCCCGCAACGAGCGCAACCCUCGUUCUAUGUUGCCAGCACGUAAUGGUGGGAACUCAUGGGAUACUGCCGGGGUCAACUCGGAGGAAGGUGGGGAUGACGUCAAAUCAUCAUGCCCCUUAUGUCUUGGGCUUCACGCAUGCUACAAUGGCCGGUACAAAGGGCUGCAAUACCGCGAGGUGGAGCGAAUCCCAAAAAGCCGGUCCCAGUUCGGAUUGAGGUCUGCAACUCGACCUCAUGAAGUCGGAGUCGCUAGUAAUCGCAGAUCAGCAACGCUGCGGUGAAUACGUUCCCGGGUCUUGUACACACCGCCCGUCAAGUCAUGAAAGUCGGUAACACCUGAAGCCGGUGGCCCAACCCUUGUG
RNAcentral lists this ribosomal RNA (433 nucleotides) under Microbacterium sp. Its description in RNAcentral is "bacterial SSU rRNA". It matches the Rfam family "Bacterial small subunit ribosomal RNA", at positions 1014 to 1445 of the family's 1533-position model. Lineage: Bacteria; Bacillati; Actinomycetota; Actinomycetes; Micrococcales; Microbacteriaceae. The record is from RNAcentral.